GAUGAACGCUGGCGGCGUGCCUAAUACAUGCAAGUCGAGCGAACAGACGAGGAGCUUGCUCCUCUGACGUUAGCGGCGGACGGGUGAGUAACACGUGUAUAACCUACCUAUAAUACUGGUAUAACUUCGGGAAACCGGCGCUAAUACCGGAUAACAUGUUGAUCCGCAUGGUUCAAUAGUGAAAUACGGUUUUGCUGUCACUUAUAGAUGGAUCCGGGCCGCAUUAGCUAGUUGGUAAGGUAACGGGCUACCACGGCUACGAUGCCUAGCCGACCGCAGAGAGUGAUAGGCGACACGGGAGGGGAAACACGGUCCAUACGACUAAGAGAGGGAGCAGAAGGGAAGCGGCCGCAGUAGGCGGGAGCCUGACGGAGCAACGCGGAGUGAGAGAAAAAGAUGUUCGGAUCGGAAAACUCGGUUAUUAGGGAAGAACAAAUGUGUAAGUAACUAUGCACGGCGUGACGGUACCUAGUCAGAAAGCCACGGCUAACUACGUG
RNAcentral lists this ribosomal RNA (497 nucleotides) under uncultured bacterium. Its description in RNAcentral is "partial 16S ribosomal RNA". It matches the Rfam family "Bacterial small subunit ribosomal RNA", at positions 28 to 507 of the family's 1533-position model. The record is from RNAcentral.